AACCAUGUAGAUAUAUUUCGAGUGUACAUAAGGUGAUGUAAACAGAAUUUUCACAUAGGCACAUCUAAAAGUCAAGUUUCCAAACGUAAUUCAGAUAAAAGUGAGGUACGUCUACUAUGUAAAGAAUAGUGGGUUACGUGACAAAUCCCCUAGGAAGAUUAGACCGUACGAAAAACCAGACGGGACGAAAUCCAUCAAGUACAACUGAGGAAUUAAGAAGUCACUAUUACUCGAUAAGUACCUAGAUCGUUGACUGACAUAAACGAAACAGGGCUCUACUACCUAUGAAAAAAAUACUCUAGUACCUAUGAACUUACGGGAAAGAACUGGUGUAUGCCAAAGACUAACAAAAGCAUGCAAAUACGGAGAAGACUCGAACACCUUGGGUAAAUAAAAGGGUUUCUAGUGAGCACGGACGAUUCAGAACCCUAGGUAAAAAAACAAGGAUACACUGGUUAGGCAUCUUCUUACGUACGAGGACUCGGUAUCUUCUUUAGUCGUCCACCUGUUUCAACUCCCGGGCUCCAUCGUUAUCAAGAAGUUUCCGUGACCCGUUAUUAACUAACCAGCUUCCAUCGUAAAAGACAGCUUGAAGUUAACUGUCCCUUCUUUAAGAAAGAUAUACACGGAAACCAAAAGAAAGCGAAUCCCUCAAGCAUGUCAAGAAAAAAGUCCCGUUCUCUAAGAAGUCGAUCUAUUGUUUCUCGUGAAAUUAAUUAAUCUAGUCUUCAACGAAAAUGGUAGCUCGAAGUCAACUGUCCCUUUUUUAACAAAGACAGAUACGGAAACCAAAAGAAAAUGAAUCCCUCAAACAUAUCAAAAAAAGUCCCCUUCUCUAAGAAGUCGAUCUACUCUUUCUCGUGAGACUAAUUAAUCUAGUCUUCAACGCACACUACUACUAACGAGCACGUCUGAUGUUACCGUGGUUGGUGGUCCGCUCCAGCAGUCACUCCGCGGCAACCACCUGUACUCAUUUCGAAGAACUGGAUAUGCUAAGUACCAAACCGUAUAAACGAAGUAGCCUCACGAAGUACAUGAACCAGACUCUACUAACUCUAGGAAUUAAACGUAACCAAAUAAAACGGCGUAGAGGACGUUAUGUAAUCACUUUUCGAAUCGUCACGACUAGAAGAUUUGAACUUCAAUUAAUACUGAACGAAUUUGAGUAUUAUUAAAACAAAACCUCUCACGUCUUUAGUAAAACUCCUUUGUCACUUGUUUUUUCAACCCCGUAGGUAAGGACCCAUUAGUCGACCCUCUUCGGGUCUUUUUAGACUGUCCUCACCACUGUCAUCGUCGUCGUACGGACUAUGUUCUGGGGACUUAUCACUAACCUCGUAAUUUCGGUACCACCAUAAGUAAAAAACGUCGGCAACCUACUACAUAGUAUUUUGUCUUAAAGUGAAGCCUAUCGACGUACACAUGUAUACACCACCUCCUUGAGUUGUUAAAGGUCAUUUUCGUUUGCAAAAACGUCAGUUUCCAUUGGAAACGAUGUAGACAAUAACUUAUAUACAACCCCUCCCGUCAUCGUCAAAAGUCUACAAACACACAAUUUAGGCAACAUUCGAAAGGUAGACACGUAAUAAGUAUUUGAAUUACCCGAAGUUAAAAUACGACGUACUACGUCUAUUUAAAUAACCAAUAAAUUUUAUAGCUGUCUAUAAAAGAUAUAGACCUUCCUACCCGGUGUAACUUGAGUGAUUAAGAAAAUGUUCGCGUGUACUUAACGAUUAUGUCCGGCCAGUACAAAAGGUUGAAAAGGAAGAAGAGGACUACAAGGGGACAUGAUGAACGGUUCCUAGUUCACGGAGAUUUCAAUAUGUACACAUGCAUAUAACUUACUAUAUGAAAAAUGAUCCCUAAAGAAAUAGCUCGCAAAUUGUACGAAAUCAAUCAAACGUACCGUAAAGGUGAUACGAAUCUUGUUGUAACACUUCCAUGCACAAUAAGAUGGAGAACCCGACAUUACGAGGUAAGUAAGUUACAAAAUCCAACACGAAGAGCUACUAGUCUAUAAAUACCGUACCAACAAUACGAGACGAGUACCAGCACACAUUGCAUCCCAUAUCUACUACGAAGUACCACUAGUACCACGGUACCACCACCACAUGUACCGUAGCUACCAUGAAGUACGUACGUACCAACGAAAGAAACGUUGUCUAUACGUCGCGACGGAAAAGCGAAGAAGAGACAAAAUAUACAGAUUAACAAGGUCCCCAGAUUGUCGUCCGUCAUAUAAAGUGCCCUAAAGAUAUAGUCAUCAAAAGACGAGUUUGAAAAAGUACGUGGAUAUUAAUACGUAACCGGAAGACCUAUAUCAACCUUACGAUGUAGGUAAAUAAUAUAGUAUAACGGUACUCAAUAUUGGCACAGAAGUACAAACAGGAUAAAAUGAAUGGAAGGAUACAAAAGAACUCUUUGAAGUACGGACGCUUCGAAACCACUGAACUACUGUCCUCUUCACCAGUCCUAACUCGGUAGCCUGUUCUCUACUGGCGGCAGCUAACGGUUGUUUAAAAACAUACGGCGUCACUCGCCCUACCCAAGUUAUAGAAGUCUACGAGACGUGACGUGGCCGAUAUAAACUAUACUCAGGUGUACGUUUUAUUUCCGUAGUGUGCAAGACCCAACGAGUCGAUACGAAAAAAAAGCACUAACCUAAUAUACGAUGAGCCACAACUUCCCAAACAAGUACAGUUUCAAUUGUUUAGAACACUACAAUGGUCUCUAACGGGUAAAUGAGUAAGACGUACCCUACCAGUCCCAAACUAAUAAAAACAGUCGUCUGAAAGUAAGUCUUUUAUUGGGUUACCGCGAGCGGACAAGAGAAAUGAAUACAUUGAUGUGUUAUCACG
This 2858-nucleotide ribosomal RNA is filed under the name Triticum aestivum (bread wheat). RNAcentral's name for it is "partial small subunit ribosomal RNA". Lineage: Eukaryota; Viridiplantae; Streptophyta; Magnoliopsida; Poales; Poaceae. The record is from RNAcentral.